Molecule: ribosomal RNA, 406 nt
Filed under: uncultured bacterium
Lineage: Bacteria
Description: partial 16S ribosomal RNA
Rfam family: Bacterial small subunit ribosomal RNA
Source: RNAcentral
GACGAACGCUGGCGGCGUGCCUAAUACAUGCAAGUAGGACGCAGUUGCGAACGGGUGAGUAACGCGUAGGUAACUGCCUAUUAGAGGGGGAUAACUAUUGGAAACGAUAGCUAAUACCGCAUACUAGUAGAUGGACCUGCGUUGUAUUAGCUAGUGGGUAGGGUAAUGGCAUACCUAGGCAACGAUACAUAGCCGACCUGAGAGGGUGAUCAGCCACACUGGGACUGAGACACGGCCCAGACUCCUACGGGAGGCAGCAGUAGGGAAUCGUGCGCAAUGGGGGGAACCCUGACCGAGCCACGCCGCGUGAGUGAAGAAGGUUUUCGGAUCGUAAGCUCUGUUGUUAAGGAAGCGUUACUUAACCAGAAAGGGACGGCUAACUACGUGCCAGCCGCCGCGGUAAUAC